UUUCUAAGAAUUGAAAUGCAAUCUCUGUUUUGCUCUCUCUUUUGCUUUUGAAACUUCAAACAUAACGUUUCCUCCACCUGGAGUUCAUUCCCUUUGUUUUUCAUUUGGCUAAGGUCCUAGUCAAUGAUCGCAACUCCAGUGCCAUCUCAUCCAAGAAGCUUUGCCCACCCACUGCCCUAGCAAGGUGCAUGGCUUCUGUGCUCUCAAACAGACUUGUGCCUCACUGCUUUUUAACAAAGCACUCAUCACUCUGUAAUGCAAUUAUCUAAUGUAAUAAUUGCUAAGAUUCAUGGACCCCGUGCUAGGUGCUGGACAUUCAGGGUUUUCAAGGACUGAGAAUGCACAUAUGGAUAGAACAAAUCUAGAAAUUCAAGCUACUUCUAUUGCUAAACAAGUAUAGAGUUUCAUAUAAAUAUAAUUCAUAAAAGGUAUAAACGGCAAGAGUUUCUACCCAAAGAUUUUGUGAAACACCUGGCAUUCUAGCUACAGCAGCAAAUUAUGGCAUCCCUUAGCCCCUCAGAGACCUCUGUCCUCAGCAGAUGUGACCGCCUUCUUGGAUCUCAGCAGUGCAAGGGUUCAGUGUGCCAGCAUCUCUACAUCUGAGGUCUUGCUGUCUUCUGCAGGCCUUCCAGCUGCUUUGAGAGAGAAGUGACCAAAGUAUUCUCACUUUUGAAGGGAGUGAAAUAAAACCUGGACAAACCAGGUUCUCAAAUUAAAAUUCAUGGAUCUUCCUAUUUUCCCAAGAAGAGCCUGUUUUUUUUCGUAUACUCCAUUGAAGCCAUUGCUGGUGGACAAUUUUCAUAGCAUUUUCUUCUCUUUUGUUUUGAAAGGCAUUGAUUAGUAAGUAGGACAUUUCUGUUCAGCAAUUGCCCUUUGAAGUUUUAUUCAAACACAGAAUUUACUGUAAAA
RNAcentral lists this long non-coding RNA (909 nucleotides) under Homo sapiens (human). Its description in RNAcentral is "novel transcript". The record is from RNAcentral. Lineage: Eukaryota; Metazoa; Chordata; Mammalia; Primates; Hominidae.